This 532-nucleotide long non-coding RNA is filed under the name Cricetulus griseus (Chinese hamster). RNAcentral describes it as "lncRNA (ENSCGRG00015035603.1)". Lineage: Eukaryota; Metazoa; Chordata; Mammalia; Rodentia; Cricetidae. The record is from RNAcentral.
CCCGCCACGGCGAGUUCUCGGUGGCCCGCAUCCUCUUCGCUCCGGGAACUUCCCUCAGUUUUCUUGUGAAGCCAGGCGUCUCGCAUGCCUGGUGAUGGCCCAGUUCCGCUCGCAGGAUGGAGCUGGAGGGAAGCGUGAGGCUAGUGACAAGGCUUGUGGAUGUGCCGCCGGAACAGGCUUGGAAUCCUAAUUUGUGGUCUUUAGUACCUUGUGACCUGGGUUUCUCUGUGUAGCUUUGGAGGUUGUCCUGGAACUCGCUCUGUAAACCAGAUUGGCCUGGAACUCCCAGAGAUCUGCCUGCCUCUGCUUCCCGAGUGCUGCAAUUAAAGCCAUGGCACGUGCUCACUCAUGCAUCCUCCCCAGGGGAUCAGGUAAUAAGAAUAAUUUAAAAUUCUUUAAAAAGUAAAUGGGUGUUGGGACCCAGCCCCCACAGGGUCUCCGUGAGUUGUUUUCCAGCAUAACCACAGGUACCUCCUGUUUUCUUGGCCUCGCCCACUAGCAUCAACAUCCUGUUAUGAACCUGUCUUGUUUU